UAAUAAUUUGGUCGUUGACUU
This 21-nucleotide non-coding RNA is filed under the name Caenorhabditis elegans. Lineage: Eukaryota; Metazoa; Nematoda; Chromadorea; Rhabditida; Rhabditidae. The record is from RNAcentral.